This 216-nucleotide long non-coding RNA is filed under the name Helianthus annuus (common sunflower). RNAcentral describes it as "sRNA HanXRQr2_Chr15g0682341". Lineage: Eukaryota; Viridiplantae; Streptophyta; Magnoliopsida; Asterales; Asteraceae. The record is from RNAcentral.
CGUAUUAUUUGUGGUUUGGAAAUCUCAUAGAUCGAAAACCCUGCCGCACUCCAUUCUUCCCUUCUCUCGAUCAGCUUUCCCUUCGAAGUUUACGUGUACGAAUCUUGUUGAUUGUUCCAUAUUCGAUCAGUAUAACCUAUUCUCUGACAUAUGUUACUGAUAUGGUUGAUCAACGUGAAACAAAGUGAUAAAACAUACCGAGCAAAUCCCAGGUGA